Molecule: ribosomal RNA, 513 nt
Filed under: uncultured bacterium
Lineage: Bacteria
Description: partial 16S ribosomal RNA
Rfam family: Bacterial small subunit ribosomal RNA
Source: RNAcentral
GACGAAUGCUGGCGGCGUGCCUAAUACAUGCAAGUUGAGCGAUGAAGAUUGGUGCUUGCACCAAUUUGAAGAGCAGCGAGCGGGUGAGUAACGCGUGGGGAAUCUGCCUUUGAGCGGGGGACAACAUUUGGAAACGAAUGCUAAUACCGCAUAACAACUUUAAACAUAAGUUUUAAGUUUGAAAGAUGCAAUUGCAUCACUCAAAGAUGAUCCCGCGUUGUAUUAGCUAGUUGGUGAGGUAAAGGCUCACCAAGGCGAUGAUACAUAGCCGACCUGAGAGGGUGAUCGGCCACAUUGGGACUGAGACACGGCCCAAACUCCUACGGGAGGCAGCAGUAGGGAAUCUUCGGCAAUGGACGAAAGUCUGACCGAGCAACGCCGCAUGAGUGAAGAAGGUUUUCGGAUCGUAAAACUCUGUUGGUAGAGAAGAACGUUGGUGAGAGUGGAAAGCUCUUCAAGUGACGGUAACUACCCAGAAAGGGACGGCUAACUACGUGCCAGCCGCCGCGGUAA